RNAcentral lists this ribosomal RNA (211 nucleotides) under uncultured bacterium. Its description in RNAcentral is "partial 16S ribosomal RNA". It matches the Rfam family "Bacterial small subunit ribosomal RNA", at positions 30 to 236 of the family's 1533-position model. The record is from RNAcentral.
AUUGAACGCUGGCGGCGUGCUUAACACAUGCAAGUCGUGCGGUAACAGGCGUAGCAAUACGUGCUGACGAGCGGCGAACGGGUGCGUAAUACAUGGGAAUCUGCCCUUUGGUGGGAAUAACCCGGCGAAAGCCGGGCUAAUGCCGCAUAAGAUCUUCGGAUGAAAGCGGGGAGUACGUAAGACCUCGCGCCGAGUGGAGUGAGCCCACUGU